Molecule: long non-coding RNA, 321 nt
Filed under: Homo sapiens (human)
Lineage: Eukaryota; Metazoa; Chordata; Mammalia; Primates; Hominidae
Description: HSALNT0088759
Source: RNAcentral
AAUUCAUAUAAACAAAUAGUACAACAGACAUGCCAUUCCUUUGAAAACUGGAGAAUAGGAUGUUAAGGUGAUAGCAUCCUAACUUGGUUGUUUAUUUGGAAUCUAUCCAAGCAGAUCAAGGAAUGACAUUAGGCAAGAUAGGGAUGGAGGCACUAGCUUUACGUUCCCAUAAUUAAGUUACAUCAGAUAGAGGUUGCUUAGGAGAGAGCAUUUCUACUUAAAGAAACAGGCCUUGAGAAGUCCAGAGUUUUAACAACUGAAAGGUUUUUCUCAAUUCUUCCUAGACCCCAAGGAUCUGAGAUUUCUACAACUUCACUGAAA